This 64-nucleotide transfer RNA is filed under the name Cyrtodactylus kimberleyensis. RNAcentral's name for it is "tRNA-Ala". Lineage: Eukaryota; Metazoa; Chordata; Lepidosauria; Squamata; Gekkonidae. The record is from RNAcentral.
AGAGAUCUUAGCUUAAUUAAAGUGUUUGAGUUGCAUUCAGGAGAUGUAUUGUUAUACAGAUCUU